CCUACGGGUGGCAGCAGUAGGGAAUCUUCCACAAUGGGCGAAAGCCUGAUGGAGCAACGCCGCGUGGGUGAAGAAGGUCUUCGGAUCGUAAAACUCUGUUGUUAGAGAAGAAAGUGCGUGAGAGUAACUGUUCACGUUUCGACGGUAUCUAACCAGAAAGCCACGGCUAACUACGUGCCAGCAGCCGCGGUAAUACGUAGGUGGCAAGCGUUAUCCGGAUUUAUUGGGCGUAAAGGGAACGCAGGCGGUCUUUUAAGUCUGAUGUGAAAGCCUUCGGCUUAACCGGAGUAGUGCAUUGGAAACUGGGAGACUUGAGUGCAGAAGAGGAGAGUGGAACUCCAUGUGUAGCGGUGAAAUGCGUAGAGAUAUGGAAGAACACCAGAGGCGAAGGCGGCUCUCUGGUCUGUAACUGACGCUGAGGUUCGAAAGCGUGGGUAGCAAACAGGAUUAGAUACCCGGGUAGUC
RNAcentral lists this ribosomal RNA (465 nucleotides) under uncultured bacterium. Its description in RNAcentral is "partial 16S ribosomal RNA". It matches the Rfam family "Bacterial small subunit ribosomal RNA", at positions 338 to 795 of the family's 1533-position model. The record is from RNAcentral.